AUUCGCAAUCUUUUUCGUUCUUUGUUUUUUUUAGAAUAGAUUAUUCCACCUUUCAAUAAACUUCAACUCAUUUCUUACUCUCUUAAUCAAUCUCUUAUGAUCUUAUUCUUUUACUCUUUUGUUUACCCAUUACAGAUAAUGUUACCACAUAAUUUAUCUGAAGGUAGAACAACUGGUCCUUAAUAUUGUAUCUUCGAUGUAUCUCCAAUAUUUUAUUCUAGAUACUUCUAUUUCAGCUUUCUUAUUCAUUCCAUCUUCCUACUUCCCCCUCAUCUCUCUCUUUCUCUCUAACCUUGCUUUUUCAUCUCUCUUCUCAUUUCUUCAUUCCUAAUUUAUUACUAUUCAUUUGCAAUUUUCUUCAUAAUCGCGUAGGCACUUUGCGCUAUUUUUCUUUUACAGGAUCCGACUAAGCGACAGGAUCACCAUCUUCAAGCGAUUGAUACUCCAUGGCAGCUCCCGCCACCUGGUCCAGGUUCAUCCUCUCUCAUGUCCUGCGCGUUAGAGGGGGUUUUCACAUCUCGAUACCCCCGCGGCAGCAGCGAGAAAGCCGCCGGCGCGACCGGCGCGCGUUAUUGAUUUGACAGGAAUGACGGGAGGCGGAAUGGCGCAGGAAUCGAUAAGAGAAGGUGGUGGUCCAAGCUGCUGGUGAUGGGCUGCGCGGGGGUGCGCAAGAAAGAGAGGCUGCUUGUACAACGAGGGUGCUAGAGCGAGCGAGCGAGCGAGCGGCGAACUGUGUAGGGUUGGUAGCGAGCAGGUAGAGGGAGUGAUGAGGAGAAGAACGAGGGCUGGCGGGAGCGGUAGCGAGGAGGAGGAUCAGAAGAGAGAGGGAGCGGAGAAUAUUUUCAUACUCCAGACUCCCGGCGUAGGUAGAAGAUGGCAGCCGAGGCGUGAUUCGGUCCGGGCAGUUUCCUCUUUUCUGGCCGCGCGCGCGCGAGAGUAGUAGGGCCGCAAUCCGCUCCGGGUUUGAGAAGAAGUCGGAAAGUAGUGUGCUCUCCCUUCGUGGUCGAUCUCAGCUCCUCGUUGUCGGUCGACGGUGCACGAAAACUCCAAAAAAAGCCGCCGAGAGAUGAUUUAAAGAGAGAUAGAGAACAAGCAGAAAGAGAGAGAGAGAGAGAGAGAGAGAGAGAAAGAGAGAGAGAGAGGGAGGGAGAAAGAGAAAGAGAGAGAAAGAGAGAGACUGAUUGACUGACUGAUACUAAAGGAAAGAUAAAAAAGAGGAAAAGAUAGAACGAGAAGGAAGAGAAAGAUCCGCUCCAUUUCGCUCAUCUGCAUUUCGUUCGCGCGACGUAUCCAAUUCGCUGUUUUUCUGUCGUUUUUUUUCGUCGCUGCACAUACAGCUACCCGCUACGAGCGCGCUAUUCGUAUAUCUCAAAGAUUGGUAUACGUUCGAUAGCGUAUUAUCGAAGAGAAUCAACUCGUGAUCCGCUCCGAUCCGCUCCGCUACGCUCCGUUCCGCUCGACUCCGCGUGCCGCGUCUAAUGAUCAAGGAGGUGGUAGACAUCAGUGAUUAUGCGCGUAGUAAUGAAUAAUCUUGUAAAGCCCGUCGGAAUCACAGUAGCCGCCAUCGUCGCAGUGUUUCAUGAGCGUCAUGUAAUAUGGAAUUAAACAAUGUUGUUAAGACGUAAACAUGUUCUGGCUACACUGUGGACUCUUUGUUCUCGUGAUUGCCGUACGUGGAUUUAUUAGCAGCUUAGCCGAUACCACAUCCAAGCGAGAUUGGUAGCUGAGCGUAUUGAUGGCUGGAGCUUAAUCGGACCGAGUGUAAUCGAUUCAAUAUUUUAGAGGGUACAGAGGGAUGGUAAUCUAUCAAAAGAAAUUCAAAUCCAACCGGUCCGAAUUCUUUAUCAAGCUAUUCUGUCUACAGGAAAGCGUUUAUUUCGAUCAAUUUCGAAUAAGAUAGUGACCUAAGUUUCGCGAAUAAUUUAAUGUAAAAUAACUCGAAAUUUUUUAUCAGACUAAGUGGACGCUAAGGUCCUCUACACGAAUGGCUGCGUGAAUGAAUGGGUGUAAAGCGCUGAUCGUUACGGAGGUAUUGCACCUGCUUGCGCACCUUGCUUGCCACCCUGUCCGCUUAAUAAUCCUAAGGAGCGUCAAAGACCCAUAAUGUCGGGUUUGCGGGUCAGGAGAUCUCAGAAUUUAAGGAUUCCAGGAAAUCUAGGAUUCAAAUAACUUAAUCUAAUUUCUGGAAAUUAGAUAAACUUAGAGUAAAGGAAAUCCGGAAUUUACCAACCUCAGGAUUCAAGGAGUCGAGGAAUUUAUAAUUUAUCUUAAAAAUAAAAAUAUCUAACGGUAAAAGGGAAUUGAAGAUUUAGGAUCUAAGAAAUUUAAUACUCGAUAAAAUUGAAAUGUAUAAUUUAUUAUA
Acromyrmex echinatior (Panamanian leafcutter ant) is the source of this 2362-nucleotide long non-coding RNA. NCBI's taxonomy places the organism in Eukaryota, Metazoa, Arthropoda, Insecta, Hymenoptera, Formicidae. The record is from RefSeq and is a predicted model, not a curated record.